GGGUCUUGGUGUUGUGGGCUUACUGCCUGCCAGCCUCCUGUUACUUGGGCUCCUGACCACCAUGAUCAGACACAAAGCCAGGAACCUGGCCCAGCUCCUCCGCCUUGCAGCCUCUGAUUUGGUGCUCUAGAUUCCAGGGUCAUGACGCACAAAAACAUGAGAUCAAUUUUACAUCCAGUUUGUAUAGCUGAAUUUGUAUUAAGCCUAAAGAACUUAUUUGUGAGGCAUCUAACUCACAUAAAUAGUAAGUGCCAAACAAAUGCAUAUAGAGCAUGGAGCUGGUCAGCUUUCAGAUUUCUGUACCUUUUGACUGACCUGCUCCUCUAAAGAGAAACUUUUGGAGAAUUCACCUUUUACUCUGAGACAUCAGACACAUGUUAAGAUUCCCUGAGCAAAUAGGGGUGAGGAAGAGGGUAAGCAACAUGUUCAGAUAACAAUUGUUUCUCCAGAGUAAUGUAAUUUAUUCUGUUUGGACGAAGUACAGAUAGUAGCAAUUCUAAAUUAAAUUGACAUGUCCAUGCCCCCCCCCCACAGGUUUUAGUUAUUGUUCAGAGAGAUAAUUUAAUUUAUUAUUAUGAGUACACUCAGAUUUUCUAAAAGACAAGGAGUACCUGGAAUAAUUUUUUUUAUUACGUCUGAUGAAAUUACAUUACCUUUCCUAAAAUAACAAGUACAAAGUUUUCAAAGAAUGCUGAGUUUACUGUAAGGGGAUUUACAAACACAACAUCCUUAUAAACAAUUCCACCAUUUGGUGUGUAGCAGAAAAAGUUUUUGGGUUUGUGUUUACUCAUAUUUAUAUUAGUAAGAAUCCUGAACGUUUAUGGACAUUAGAGUAGGCAUAGAUUCGGCCUUUUUGUGUGGAGACCCCUUGAAAUGGUGUCUGUUGGAUUUCUACUUUUUAUGCCGCUGUUACAGGUGUUGUAAUUCUGUUAAUGACAUGGGCCUAAUACUUCCGCCCAUAGAAAAUUCACACAAGAAAUUAAUGCAAACAGUUUCAAAGAAAGAAAAACAAUUAGGUGUUGUCCAACUUUAGAUGUCCUUUUUGGAAGCUAAUUACCUUGACCCAUUUCAGAACUAGUUUCAGCACUUAAACAGUUUUGGUCGCACCUGAUGAGGAAUGGCUUUUGAUACCACCAUGCUUGGUAUUCUGCUGGACCCACUUUGUAGAUUGGGAGUUGGAUGCAUUGGGAGUGUUUUGAUGGUUCCUCUCCUACCUGAAGGGUUGGCUCCAGACAGCAGCAGUAAAAAGCACUUGCUCCCUCUUUUUAGUGUGUAUAUGAAUCUGUUGAGAGUGGUCAUUAGAAGAUUUGAGGCACGAUACUAUCAAUAUGCGGAUGAUACUCAGCUCUAUUUCUUCUUGCCAUCUGGGGUCUGCUGAAGCUGGACAGGUGCUGUAUCUGUGUCUGGAGACAAUAAUGAAUAAGACUGGAGCUCAGCUGGGGAAACUCUUCUGGUGAUGCCAUUGUUGAGGGAGGUCAGGAGAACUACAACUUGCCAGAGGGUCUUCUCAGCAAUCGUAUCCUGUUUACUAGGGGUUGCCAAGACCGGCUCCUGAGGUGCAGGCCCAUGGGGAUGCAAAAAUCACCUAUCAGAUUAUGGUGUAAAUAAUGUAUAUAUGUGUGGCAACAUGACAGUGCUUUCACAGCAAGAUCAAAUGCAGGAAAAUCUUCUUGUCCUUCUUGCACCGUGGCACAAAGAUGUGCAUUUUUUUUCACCCUUCCUCCUUGCUUUGCCUUCACUGCAGAUGCUUCAAGUACUUGGGUUGUAUGAAAUGUAAUAAUUUAUAAUGUGGCUAUUAUGGUAAAGUGAUGGGAGCGGGGGUUAAAGCUCCUUGCCAAGGGUUCAAGGGACCCUGGGUACACCUCUGCCCAAUUACACAACAUUCUCCAGUCUGAGCUUCAAAUGGUGCCUUGUCGAUCUUUUGGUCAUUUCAUUUCUAAUAUUUAACAGAUGGUGACUUUACUUCUUAGUUGUAUUUUACUUUUUGUCAGUUUUGGUAUUGUAUUUUAAACUGUUGCUUUAUUUAAUUUAAAUUUGUGUGUGUGCUUUUAAAUGGUUUUAAGUGUUUGCAGUGCUGUGUUUUAAGGGGGUUCUUUCAUUACUGUUAUGUGUGCUGGCGUGGUUGCUCGAGAGCAAACUGGCAAGACUCCCCGUGGGUCUUUUCUUUCUUUCUUUUUAAAUUUUUUAAUUAAAUUUUCCAACAUACAUUUAUAGUAUCCAAUCUAAAUUUAUCACAUAUUUUCUCUUUUAGACUUCCUUCAACCUCUCUGACAAUCACCCAUUAUUCAAAUUUUUAAAUACGCAUUUCCUAAUUUUAUAUUGCAUUUUAUAAACCUUCACACACUUAGUUUUCAUCAAUACAAUAGUCCUCUAUCAUUUACAGAACUUCUUGAAAUCCCACUAGCGUUAUUUGCUCAUCACAUACACAUUUCAUAUAGUCUGAAAAUUUUCCCCAGUCUUCAAUGAACUUUUGAUCUCGUAUAUAUCUGAUCUUUCCUGUUAGUUUGUCCAGUUCAGCAUACUCCAUCAGUUUCAUUCUCCAUUCUUGAGCGUCGGCAGUUGUUCCUGUUUCCAUCUUUGGGCCAAUAAUAUUCUCGCUGCUGUUACUGCAUAUUGGAAAAGUUUACAGUCCAUUCUAUUUAUUUCAUUUCCUACUAUUCCUAAAAGAAAAGCCUCUGGUUUCUUAACAAACGUAUAUUUCAACAUCUUUUUCAUCUCAUUACAUAUCAUUUCCCAGAAGCCCUUCACCUUCUUACAAUCCCACCACAUAUGAUAAAAUGUUCCUUCUUUUUCUUUACAUUUCCAACACAUUACAUGUUUUAUACAUGUAAUGUAUAAAACCCGUGGGUCUUUUCAAGGCUUUAUUAUCGGUGCAAAAACAUUCACAGUGCAGAGCGUCUCAAUUCAAUGUCUUGCUCACUCGCUAGCAGAAUCUGGGAGUGGGCGGUCCUUAAACUUUCCCCAGCAGAGUAGUCUUUUGACCCCCACCCUACGCCUCCCCUCCCUGUGCGCAAACCGACUGCGCAGAGAGGGCGUGGGCAGAGGGGGACCUGCCUCCCCCCCCUCUUUGUUCAUGCUCGGUGCUGUGUCUCCCUUGCAUCCUCCGAGCCCUGCAUCCCUUCCCCACUGGAGGCGUGGCUUUCCUCCUCCGCGGAGGAGGUGCUGCUUCUCACGAUCAUUGGAGGCUCCCUGUAACCCAACUGCCCUUCCACCUCUCGCCUCUGAGCUGAUGGCAGUUCCCUGACAAUUACUUUUUAAAGAAAUUAUAUUUUAGUUGUGUCUGUUUUAACUUACGCUGUAGGAACACUGGAAGAAAAAUGGGAAACUAAUUAUGACCCAUAAUUUUAUAAUAAUAAAUAGAAUAAAAAUAAACUUCAUGUAGCUAAAGAAGAUGCUGUUUUGCCUCCAACCUACUGCUUUUUCCAUCUGGAAUUGUUUGCAAAUUGUCUGGAAAUGCCAUUCCACUAAUACAUAACAUAGUUCACUUGACUGGGAACAGCUAGGCCACAAAAGUGAAAGUUUUUAUUCUGUGAAUGUUGGUCUUUAGAAGAGUUUGGAUUUGAUAUCCCGCCUUUCACUCCCUUUAAGGAGUCUCAAAGCGGCUAACAUUCUCCUUUCCCUUCCUUCCCCACAACAAACACUCUGUGAGGUGAGUGGGGCUGAGAGACUUCAGAGAAGUGUGACUAGCCCAAGGUCACCCAGCAGCUGCAGGUGGAGGAGCGGAGACGCGAAUCCAGUUCCCCAGAUUAGGAGACUACCGCUCUUUUUUUUUUAAAAAAAAGAUAUUUAUUGAGAUUUUCAGAAUGUUAC
RNAcentral lists this long non-coding RNA (3810 nucleotides) under Podarcis lilfordi (Lilford's wall lizard). Lineage: Eukaryota; Metazoa; Chordata; Lepidosauria; Squamata; Lacertidae. The record is from RNAcentral.